ACUCCUACGGGAGGCAGCAGUGGGGAAUUUUGGACAAUGGGCGCAAGCCUGAUCCAGCAAUGCCGCGUGCAGGAAGAAGGCCUUCGGGUUGUAAACUGCUUUUGUCAGGGAAGAAAUCUUCUGGGCUAAUACCCCGGGAGGAUGACGGUACCUGAAGAAUAAGCACCGGCUAACUACGUGCCAGCAGCCGCGGUAAUACGUAGGGUGCGAGCGUUAAUCGGAAUUACUGGGCGUAAAGCGUGCGCAGGSGGCUUUGCAAGACAGAGGUGAAAUCCCCGGGCUCAACCUGGGAACUGCCUUUGUGACUGCAAGGCUAGAGUACGGCAGAGGGAGAUGGAAUUCCGCGUGUAGCAGUGAAAUGCGUAGAUAUGCGGAGGAACACCGAUGGCGAAGGCAAUCCCCUGGGCCUGUACUGACGCUCAUGCACGAAAGCGUGGGGAGCAAACAGGAUUAGAUACCCUGGUAGUCCACSCCCUAAACGAUGUCAACUGGUUGUUGGACGGCUUGCUGUUCAGUAACGAAGCUAACGCGUGAAGUUGACCGCCUGGGGAGUACGGCCGCAAGGUUGAAACUCAAAUGAAUUGACGG
This 588-nucleotide ribosomal RNA is filed under the name uncultured Imtechium sp. RNAcentral's name for it is "bacterial SSU rRNA". It matches the Rfam family "Bacterial small subunit ribosomal RNA", at positions 335 to 916 of the family's 1533-position model. Lineage: Bacteria; Pseudomonadati; Pseudomonadota; Betaproteobacteria. The record is from RNAcentral.